RNAcentral lists this ribosomal RNA (353 nucleotides) under uncultured bacterium. RNAcentral's name for it is "bacterial SSU rRNA". It matches the Rfam family "Bacterial small subunit ribosomal RNA", at positions 29 to 409 of the family's 1533-position model. The record is from RNAcentral.
AACGAACGCUGGCGGCAUGCCUAACACAUGCAAGUCGAACGAGACCUUCGGGUCUAGUGGCGCACGGGUGCGUAACGCGUGGGAAUCUGCCCUUGGGUUCGGAAUAACAGUUAGAAAUGACUGCUAAUACCGGAUAAUGUCUUCGGACCAAAGAUUUAUCGCCCAGGGAUGAGCCCGCGUAGGAUUAGCUAGUUGGUGAGGUAAAAGGCUCACCAAGGCGACGAUCCUUAGCUGGUCUGAGAGGAUGAUCAGCCACACUGGGACUGAGACACGGCCCAGACUCCUACGGGAGGCAGCAGUGGGAAUAUUGGACAAUGGGCGAAAGCCUGAUCCAGCAAUGCCGCGUGAGUGAU